This 624-nucleotide long non-coding RNA is filed under the name Musa acuminata (dwarf banana). Its description in RNAcentral is "long non-coding RNA (MACU_LNC006586)". The record is from RNAcentral. Lineage: Eukaryota; Viridiplantae; Streptophyta; Magnoliopsida; Zingiberales; Musaceae.
CCUCUAUAAGAGAUAUGCUCCCUAGGGCUAUCUACCAACUUGAGCUUUUUCAGGUUGGAUUGCAUUCCCACAGACAAAUGUAUGAACCGUGAGCUCUACCAUCACUGAUUGGCAUUUCCUCCUCCCUCAAGACAGAUCCACUAUACCUGAGGCCAAUUUAGAAGGAUCUACAUGGAUCCAUUGAGCUUUUUCAGGUGAGAAGGCACAGCUGUCUGCAGUGAUCCUGCUCAGUUACUUGGCAUUGCACAUUCCUAAGAGUGAAGCUCUGGAAUGCGCAAAGGUCUUGGGGGCUCUACAAUCAGUCGCCAGGAGUCCACUGGCACAGGAUUCCUCUUUAAGAGAUAUGCUCCCUCGUGCUAUCUACCAACUUGAGCUUUUUCAGGUUGGAUUGCAUUCCCACAGACAAAUGUAUGAACCGUGAGCUCUACCAUCACUGAUUGGCAUUUCCUCCUCCCUCAAGACAGAUCCACUAUACCUGAGGCCAAUUUAGAAUGAUCUACAUGGAUCCAUUCAACUUGAAAUGAUUUAUCAAAGUAUGAUAUCAUGUUAUUCCGUCAUUUAUUGAGAAACUGAUUGUGGAUCUGAAGAUGCUAUGACAGCUUCAGUGGAUGGUUUCUGGGUAUC